CCUACGGGUGGCAGCAGUGAGGAAUAUUGGUCAAUGGCCGGAAGGCUGAACCAGCCAUGCCGCGUGGGUGAAGGAGUGCUUCGGCAUGUAAAGCCCUAUCGGCAGGGAAGAAGCAAGACGGUACCUGACUAAGAAGCCCCGGCUAACUACGUGCCAGCAGCCGCGGUAAUACGUAGGGGGCGAGCGUUAUCCGGAUUCACUGGGUGUAAAGGGAGCGUAGACGGCCAUGCAAGCCAGGGGUGAAAGCCCGGGGCCCAACCCCGGGACUGCCCUUGGAACUGUGCGGCUAGGGGGCGGGAGGGGCAGGCGGAAUUCCGGGUGUGGCGGUGAAAUGCGUAGAUAUCAGGAGGAACACCGGCGGCGAAGGCGGCCUGCUGGACCGCGACUGACGUUGAGGCUCGAAAGCGUGGGGAGCGAACAGGAUUAGAUACCGAGUAGUC
Molecule: ribosomal RNA, 440 nt
Filed under: uncultured bacterium
Lineage: Bacteria
Description: partial 16S ribosomal RNA
Rfam family: Bacterial small subunit ribosomal RNA
Source: RNAcentral